UACAGAGGGGGCAAGCGUUGUUCGGAAUUACUGGGCGUAAAGGGCGCGUAGGUGGCCUUCUAAGUUGAACGUGAAAUCCCUGGGCUCAACCCAGGAACUGCGUCCAAGACUGGGAGGCUUGAAUCCGGGAGAGGGAUGCGGAAUUCCAGGUGUAGCGGUGAAAUGCGUAGAUAUCUGGAGGAAUACCGGUGGCGAAGGCGGCAUCCUGGACCGGCAUUGACGCUGAUGAGCGAAAGCUAGGGGAGCAAACGGG
This 253-nucleotide ribosomal RNA is filed under the name uncultured bacterium. RNAcentral's name for it is "partial 16S ribosomal RNA". It matches the Rfam family "Bacterial small subunit ribosomal RNA", at positions 524 to 776 of the family's 1533-position model. The record is from RNAcentral.